This 466-nucleotide ribosomal RNA is filed under the name uncultured soil bacterium. Its description in RNAcentral is "bacterial SSU rRNA". It matches the Rfam family "Bacterial small subunit ribosomal RNA", at positions 26 to 487 of the family's 1533-position model. The record is from RNAcentral.
AGAGUGAACGCUGGCGGUAGGCCUAACACAUGCAAGUCGAACGGCAGCACAGGAGAGCUUGCUCUCUGGGUGGCGAGUGGCGGACGGGUGAGGAAUACAUCGGAAUCUACCUUUUCGUGGGGGAUAACGUAGGGAAACUUACGCUAAUACCGCAUAAGACCUUCGGGUGAAAGCCGGGGACCUUCGGGCCUGGCGCGGAUAGAUGAGCCGAUGUCGGAUUAGCUUGUUGGCGGGGUAAAAGCCCACCAAGGCGACGAUCCGUAGCUGGUCUGAGAGGAUGAUCAGCCACACUGGAACUGAGACACGGUCCAGACUCCUACGGGAGGCAGCAGUGGGAAUAUUAGGACAAUGGGCGCAAGCCUGAUCCAGCCAUACCGCGUGGGUGAAGGAAGGGCCUUCGGUUAGGUUAAAGCCCGUUUUAGUUAGGUAAAGUAAAUCCUCGACCGGUUUAACUAACCGUAAGUAA